GCACGGAUAGCCGAGUGGUCUUAGCGAUAGACUUUUACUUUAUGGGUCCAGGGGUAAAUGGUUCGAGCCCAGUUGAGUGUU
Molecule: transfer RNA, 81 nt
Filed under: Dreissena polymorpha
Lineage: Eukaryota; Metazoa; Mollusca; Bivalvia; Myida; Dreissenidae
Description: tRNA-Lys
Source: RNAcentral